GUGAAUCAUCAAAUCUUUGAACGCAAAUUGCACUCUCCUCGGAGAGUAUGCCUGUUUGAGGGUCAGUCUAUAAAAAAUCGACAUCGUUGCUGUUUCACGGUGAAGUUCGUCGGAAAUUGGGUCAUCUUAAAUCAUUUUGGUUUUAAGCGACUUCAAAUUUUCUUUUUGUUUCCAUGAACGCUUCUAAGUUUUAUUUCUUUACAUGUUUAAGGGUAUCGAUUUUUAUUAGACGUGACCAUUAUAUCGGAUCGCGUCGAUCAUC
Molecule: unclassified non-coding RNA, 262 nt
Filed under: Glomeraceae sp.
Lineage: Eukaryota; Fungi; Glomeromycota; Glomeromycetes; Glomerales; Glomeraceae
Description: partial contains 5.8S ribosomal RNA and internal transcribed spacer 2
Rfam family: 5.8S ribosomal RNA (bases 1-65)
Source: RNAcentral